GUGCUUGCUUCAGCAGCAUGUAUACUAAAAUUGGAACAAUACAGAGAAGAUUAGCAUGGCCUCUGCACGUGGAUGACAUGCAAAUCCAUGAAGCAUUAAAAUUUUAA
This is a small nuclear RNA of Vulpes vulpes (red fox), 107 nucleotides long. The record is from Ensembl. NCBI's taxonomy places the organism in Eukaryota, Metazoa, Chordata, Mammalia, Carnivora, Canidae.